Non-coding RNA from Xyrichtys novacula (pearly razorfish), 3295 nucleotides. NCBI's taxonomy places the organism in Eukaryota, Metazoa, Chordata, Actinopteri, Labriformes, Labridae. The record is from the annotation of a GenBank genome assembly.
GCUCUCAUCAGCCCUGCUCUCUCCAUUAAUCACAACACCUGGUCACCUCACCUGAUCACCUGGCUGCCGGAUUGCGCUGUGUGCUCAGCUCGCUUCUCUUGGUAUGUUAAUCACAUACUUUAUUGUAUUGCUUUAAAAGUUUUGCGGUUGCUGUCAGGGUUGGCUUUUGUCUCCAACAGUUCCUCACUGGGUCUUUUCUCUCCCGCAUUGAACCGAUUGUGGGACCAAGAGUGUGUGUUCCCACAUCCCCACACAGCUGGGGGUGAUCAGCUGAGUGCAGUGGCGCUCCUGUCAUUAGGCGGAGUAGGAGGCUGCGAGGGGCGCCUGCGAGCAGAAAGGGCGCCAGGGAGGGGAGAAGAUUUUUUUUUUAAUAAAUACUUUUUAUUUUGCAAUAUAAAACAACAACAAAAACACAGCAAUCUAACAACAGUACAUACAGUCGUAAAGUCUUUAAACAAUGGCUAAAUCAUUUAUAUAUUUGGGCUUAAGUGUCUGUCUGCCUGCAACCUGCCUGCAAUUUCGCCACGGUCCCCAAUGGAUUGCACACAGGACACGACUCCUCCCCGCCCCCCUGCUCUCUCCUCGUAGUCGUACUGCGCUUGCUUCUGAGGUAAAUUGGGUUGGUAACUCGCUCUCUGUUUAACUCAACUAGUUACAGCCAGGUAACUUGUAACACAACACACCUGCAGUGCCGCCGCCGCGGCUUAUGCAUCGUCACCACCAGUUCUCCACACAGAGAGACCACACCAAGCACAGCCAACAAGGCAAUAAUAAGCCAAGGCAGGCCAGGCAGAGCAGUGUCAAUUAUCAUCAUGGCUUAAUGCCUCAGCUGUUAGGCAACAACAUGCUUUCUCGCCGAGGCAUAAUGCCUCAGUGCUUGACUUCUCCAAAGUGAAAAGUCGAGACGAGUCUUGACUUUCAAUUCAUUCAAAGUCGUCAGAUCAUGGCGGUCCAGCAUCUUGCAGAAUGCAGAUCAAAAACACAACAUACUAGCUUAGCAAAUCGUUUGUGUCAAGCCAUUUGCUGAUGUUUUAGUUGAAGUCACAGAUUUACAGAUUUAAGGGGGAUUUAUUAAGACCCCGUUCCCGCGGCCGGUGUUGUGCCAUAGAAUGCACCCCUGCCGUGGAAUGCCCCCCCGAAGGGAGCGCAGUUGAAAGUACACAACAAGGCGAAAUAAUCCAAGUUUUCCUUAACAUUGGACUGAUUCUAAAGCAUGUGCCUUUAAUGAUUUCAUUCAGGCUAUUCAGAUAUGCCAAAGACAAUAGCCCUCUGAUUCUGAAUAUUUGCUGCCCCGAAAAUAUAAUGUUCUCUACCUUAACAGUUUACUGUACAGUGUAUAUACCCAAGUACACCUCUGUAUGUGCAUUUUUUAAAUACCUAAAAACAGAACGAAAGUUUGCUGCUCCAUUUGACAUGUUGUCAUGAUCCAAUACUCGUGUUUUUUUUAAAUAUGAGAUCAUUUUUUUCCACUUACAGAAGCUAAUAAGUGAAUGGGAUGCAUUCUACUGUAUGGCGGGGGUGCAUUCUACGGCAUAACACCUGCCGUAUUGGCUUUUCUUCCUCUUUUUUCCUUUCUUUUUUGAGCUGUACAGACUAAUGAUUUACACUAAAUUAUCUGUUAAAUUAAUGAUGACUGACUGACUCAUCAUUAAGAUAUUUCACAUAUAUUUGCCACUUGUUUCCUUGACUGAGAUUUAAUUACAAUGCUGCUGUGUUUUUUAGCCAUUUUGUUUUCCUUUGAGGAUGUUGUGGGCUAGAUUGAGGUUGUCCAGGGUAUUUUGUAUAUGGCCCUGUUUAUUGUAGUACAAUUACUACAUAUGCAUAUUGCACUGAAUAUUUGCGCUCUUUCUAGUUUACAUACUUUACUAUUUGUAAUUUGUUGUGUUUGUAUUUUUCUAUAACAUUGUAUUUUGUACUAUUACCUUAUUAAUAUUGCAAUUUAUUAUUAUUUAUUAUUUAUUAUUUAUUAUUGCUACCAGAAAUCCUGCCUAGGGUGCCAAGUUGCUUAGGAAUGCCACUGGCUGAGUGGCCGAUUGAUUGAUGCGCUGCAGCGUUGCAGGUGCCUCGUUCCCUCACCCUCAUGAGGUUCAUUCAACCUUCUGACGGUAUGUGUUUAAAUGACUGCAACUCAUGCUAUUAUUAUUAAGCCGUAGUGCUAAAUUAUAUUUCUCUCACAAUAGGUUUUGUGUGUGAGCCGUGUCGGCUGCCCUAAACUUUGGAAAGGCUGUCACUUUCGCCAUCCAACUUUGAAUGGGUGGCGUCCUGCUUAUUGUGAGGUGACGUCAUCACCCUGUGGACUAAAUUUUAGGUAACCUGAUGCCUCAGCUUCCUCAUUUUGUUGGCAUUUAGCCUAUUAUGGUUUAAAUCAUUUGUUAUUAUUUUGUGAUUUGAGAGUUUGUAUGUUUAGUUUCUUCGGUUUGAUUAUUAUUAUUUUUUUGUUAGUUAUUAGUAUUUGGUUUAUUAGCAUUUUUGUUUGGUUUGGUCAUUUCUAAAUACGGUUGAGUUAUUUUCUUUUCUCUGCUUGCUAGUUUUCUUUCUUUUGUAUUUGUGGUUAAAAUCUGAUUUAACCAAAAUUUGCUAAUUGCACAUCAAUUUUAUUGGCAAUAUUGUUGCUGUGGUUUAGAGAAGUGUGUGUGUUUGUGUGUGAAUGAGUGUGGAUGAAUGAGUAAAAAAUAUCUUAUUGACUUUGUUUAUUGGUGAAAUUGUUAAAUAAAAGUCAAAGGUAUUUGUACACUGGACCACGGACUCCCGUCUUCCCUGGCAGACGAACCUGUGUGUGCCCUUACACUACAUUAAGAGGUAAUUCUACUCUCCAGGUGAAAUUCCUGGGGUGGCAUUGUUGGCAACAAAAUCAAUUUCGUAGUUGGUAAUCAGUAAUAAUAAUAAUGCAUCAGAUUUCAUAUAGCGCUUUAUCAGAGACCCUCAAAGCGCUUUACAUUGGAUAGAUACAUCAUUCAUUCACUCACACAGUCACACUUUGGUGGUGGUAAACUACCUACGUAGUCACAGCUGCCCUGGGGUAGACUGACGGAAACGUGGCUGCCAUUUUGCGCCUACGGCCUCUCCGACCACCACCACACAACACUCACAAUCAUACACCAGUGGAGGACACACACUGGGAGCAAGGUGGGUUAAGUGUCUUACCCAAGGACACAACGGACAGACUUGGGAUAGGGGGGAAUCGAACCGCCAACCUUCCGGUUAUCGGACGGCCGCUCUACCUCCUGAGCUAAUUGGUAAACAGUUGUUAUAGUAUUUUACUAUAUCUUCUUCAUAAUUCCAUUCUCCGUCAACC